CCCUUGGUUGAUCCCGCCGGACCUGACUGCUAUCGGAUUGAUACUAAGCCAUGCGAGUCUUUGUAGUAAUACAAGGCAGACGGCUCAGUAACACGUAGUCAACCUACCCUAUGGACGAGAAUAAUCUCGGGAAACUGAGCAUAAUUCUUGAUAGAUCAUAAUGCCUGGAAUGGUUUAUGGUUAAAAUGAUUCGUCGCCAUAGGAUGGGACUGCGGCCUAUCAGCUUGUUGGUGAGGUAAUGGCCCACCAAGGCGAUUACAGGUACGGGCUCUGAGAGGAGAAGCCCGGAGAUGGGUACUGAGACACGGACCCAGGCCCUAUGGGGCGCAGCAGGCGAGAAAACUUUGCAAUGUGCGAAAGCACGACAAGGUUAAUCCGAGUGAUUUCUGCUAAAGAAAUCUUUUGCCAGUCGUAAAACCGCUGGUGAAUAAGAGGUGGGCAAGUUCUGGUGUCAGCCGCCGCGGUAAAACCAGCACCUCAAGUGGUCAGGAUGAUUAUUGGGCCUAAAGCAUCCGUAGCCUGCUUUGUAAGUUUUCGGUUAAAUCCAUGUGCUCAACGCAUGGGCUGCCGAAAAUACUGCAUAGCUAAGGAGUGGGAGAGGUAGACGGUACUCAGUAGGUAGGGGUAAAAUCCUUUGAUCUAUUGAUGACCACCUGUGGCGAAG
This 664-nucleotide ribosomal RNA is filed under the name uncultured archaeon. Its description in RNAcentral is "bacterial SSU rRNA". It matches the Rfam family "Archaeal small subunit ribosomal RNA", at positions 1 to 671 of the family's 1478-position model. The record is from RNAcentral.